This is an RNA transcript of Oryzias latipes (Japanese medaka), 2279 nucleotides long. It is a transcript of the gene named SAP30 binding protein, with no coding region annotated. Lineage: Eukaryota; Metazoa; Chordata; Actinopteri; Beloniformes; Adrianichthyidae. The record is from RefSeq and is a predicted model, not a curated record.
GGGGGGGGGGGGGGGGUGAGCUGCAGGAACAGCCGCUCAGAACCCUUUGCGGGUCAAACUCUAACCGUAAUCCUCAUCUUAACGCUUCCUCUGGGUCGGUCCGGCCCAGAAAAAGGUCCAGGACUCCCGCAGCUAUUUUGAAAAUUACGUGCCAAUAGACACUGAAUUGUUUUCUUUAAAAAAAAGUUACAUAAAGGAAACUUUGAGUCGUCGUGUUUGGGCUUCGUGUUUACUACUCCGAUCACAACACAGAAACGGCAUGUGCGCAUGCGCAGUUUGUGACGUUUGAAUUCCGCGACCAAGCAUCGCGUUCGACGGCGAUGGCGAGCGGCAAAAAGAGCGCUCUUCUUUCGUCUUUAGCGGAUUAUGGAGACGAUUCAGAACCGGACUCUGACCCAGAACCAGAGGAGUCGGAGGUCCAUGGAGGAGGAAGCCUCGUUUUAUACGGUUAUGGGGAGGAGGACCUGAACCGAACCGAAGAUCCCGGAAACAGAGAGUCUGAAGAUGAAGGCAUCAAGGAAAGCAACUCGGAAAUGGACGGAUCAGACGAGGGGAGGGACCCCGAUGAUUUUGAGAUCUCUGAGAAGAACAACAUGGAUCCAGGUGAGCUUGUUGCUCUGUUCUCAGAGAGGGUGAGGAACAUGUCACCUGACGAGAUCAGGAUCCCCUCCGAGCCUCCGGGACGCUGCUCCAGCCAGCUGCAGGAGAAGAUCCACAAACUGUAUGAGAGGAAGCUCCAUGGAGACUUUGACACCAACAGCCACAUCCAGAAGAAGAAGGAGUUCAGAAACCCCAGCAUCUACGAGAAGCUGAUCCAGUUCUGUGCUAUAGACGAGCUGGGCAUGAACUACCCCAAAGACGUGUUUGACCCCCACGGCUGGUCAGAGGACUCCUACUACGAAGCUCUGGCCAAAGCCCAGAAGGUGGAGAUGGACAAGCUGGAGAAAGCCAAGAAGGAGCGCACCAAGGUGAGGCUGGAUUCCUGCUGCCUGCCAGGGGCAAGUCUGCACCGGCUGCAGCUCAUCCCUGUCAGCGUUCUGCACCAGAACCACCUUUACCGGCCAGAACCCGGCCCAGACAACGCCAGGAGAAACUGAAGCUCCUGCUUCCUUCUCAGCUGUGUUUAAUCGAGUUCGUCACAGGAACCAAGAAGGGAACCAACCCGUCCAGCACAGCAGCCUCCACCACCAGCAGCGGCAGCAGCGGCAGCACCGCCACAGACGCCCAGAAGAGGAAGAGCAAAUGGGACUCCGCCAUCCCCGUCACCUUGGCCCAGCCCACCCUGAUCACCACCUCUGGGACCCUGCCCGCCGUGGUUUCCGUGACGACCACAGCCAGCGGCACCAAGACCACCGUCAUCUCUGCGGUGGGGACCAUCCUGAAGAAAGCCAAGCAGUGAGGAGGAGGAGCAGCUUCAGGUUCUUCGGCUUUUCCUCAGACCAGGUCAGGUCCAGAGAGGAGCUUCCUGUGCUCGGACUCUGUGGAACCGUCCAGAGACUCUUUUUCACAUUUUUGCGUUUGUACAUACGGGAAUAAACGGAUGAGCUGUUGCCUUUUCAGGCGUGUCCUGUGAAUGUUGGCGGGAAGCCACAGCAUGUGUGCGGCAGGUGGAGGCUGCGCUGUCUUCACCUCAAACACGCCGCCCCUCCCAUCAGCCAUUCUGCUUUUCACAUAGGGGGGGGCUGUUCUGUCACGGCAGCAUCUGUUUUUCAUGGAGUUGGUCGUCGGGGUGUAGCGGGCCGCUGAGGAGGGCGCGGCCCCGAUUCCCGACCAUCAGCCGAGUCUUGCCCUGGUUUGGCCCCGUCGGUCGUGUUCUUGGCUCUGAGUUGGAAAACCUUCUGCUUGUAUCUCAACGUGUUUUUACAGAGCCAGGAAUGCUGGAGGAGACGAAAACAUCAGGUUGGCUGUGGGGUCUACAGCUCAUGACUUUAAACCCUCCCUUUAUUUCUAGACGCAGGUCAAUUAAACACAAAGAAAAAACGUUUUCUGGUUGGAAUGAAAUGAACUUUCUCUUAAAAUCCUGACGUCGUCAUGUAAACAACAAACAAACGUGAACUUUCAGCAACAUGUCUGAACCAAUGAUGGACGUGAUGAACCUUCUGUUCACAGAACAGGAAGUGACAUCACCGUUGUCAUCUAAAAAUGUUUGCGUUUCAAUGUAUGUACAGAAUAAAUCAAUAAAAACCUUUUCUUUAGUUUCAUAAAGAAAAGGUUAGCUGUAUUCUGAAAUCGAGAGAUGUUUGUUAAAGGACCAUAAAUAAACUUUAAAAUAACUGUCA